GUUUUAAUAAUUUAAUAUAUAUAUAUAUAAAAUAUUGAUUUUGUAAAUCAAAAAUAAGAAAAUUCUUUUAAAACU
RNAcentral lists this transfer RNA (75 nucleotides) under Abia niui. Its description in RNAcentral is "tRNA-Thr". The record is from RNAcentral. Lineage: Eukaryota; Metazoa; Arthropoda; Insecta; Hymenoptera; Cimbicidae.